GAUGAACGCUAGCGGCAGGCUUAACACAUGCAAGUCGAGGGGCAGCAUAAUGGAUAGCAAUAUCUAUGGUGGCGACCGGCGCACGGGUGCGUAACGCGUAUGCAACCUACCUUUAACAGGGGGAUAACACUGAGAAAUUGGUACUAAUACCCCAUAAUAUCAUAGAAGGCAUCUUUUAUGGUUGAAAAUUCCGAUGGUUAGAGAUGGGCAUGCGUUGUAUUAGCUAGUUGGUGGGGUAACGGCUCACCAAGGCGACGAUACAUAGGGGGACUGAGAGGUUAACCCCCCACACUGGUACUGAGACACGGACCAGACUCCUACGGGAGGCAGCAGUGAGGAAUAUUGGUCAAUGGACGCAAGUCUGAACCAGCCAUGCCGCGUGCAGGAUGACGGCUCUAUGAGUUGUAAACUGCUUUUGUACGAGGGUAAACGCAGAUACGUGUAUCUGUCUGAAAGUAUCGUACGAAUAAGGAUCGGCUAACUCCGUGCCAGCAGCCGCGGUAAUACGGAGGAUUCAAGCGUUAUCCGGAUUUAUUGGGUUUAAAGGGUGCGUAGGCGGUUUGAUAAGUUAGAGGUGAAAUUUCGGGGCUCAACCCUGAACGUGCCUCUAAUACUGUUGAGCUAGAGAGUAGUUGCGGUAGGCGGAAUGUAUGGUGUAGCGGUGAAAUGCUUAGAGAUCAUACAGAACACCGAUUGCGAAGGCAGCUUA
This 709-nucleotide ribosomal RNA is filed under the name uncultured Bacteroidales bacterium. RNAcentral describes it as "bacterial SSU rRNA". It matches the Rfam family "Bacterial small subunit ribosomal RNA", at positions 28 to 728 of the family's 1533-position model. Lineage: Bacteria; Pseudomonadati; Bacteroidota; Bacteroidia; Bacteroidales. The record is from RNAcentral.